Molecule: long non-coding RNA, 648 nt
Organism: Thamnophis elegans (Western terrestrial garter snake)
Lineage: Eukaryota; Metazoa; Chordata; Lepidosauria; Squamata; Natricidae
Exons: 3
Source: RefSeq, a predicted model, not a curated record
AAAGUGGUAAACUUGACCACGGGGAGGCUGCAACGAUCCAUACUGCAGGAGGGUAAAGUAAUAACGUGGGAUGAAUGGAAACCCAAGCUGGGGAUUGGAGGUGUGGACUGGGAGAAUGAGCAAUGAGUAGGGAUCCCAGCCCUGAAGAAACUCCUUGUGUUCUGUUAAAAUGCACUCAUGGAUGCAAUGCUUAAGGGCCAAAGAUCUGUGGUGACCUCCUUGGGAGUCAUAAGACGAGCAAUUGAAUAAACAAACUCUAUUGACGGCCGGAAGACACACCCUAUUUUUGGAAUUCCACCUUUUUUGCAGAUUGGAGGAAUCGAAACAUUUUUUAAAGGAUGGAUUCUAAGGUAGAUGCACCCCCACCUGCGCAUCAAAUGAACAUUAAAAAGGUGCUCUGAAUUAAUGUUGCAUUCCGUGAACAAUUGAAAAGCUAACCCACUCAUCCUAUAAAAGGUUGAUGUGUUGUUUUAGGCAGAAUACAAGUACUUCCCGACUUACAACAGUUCAUUUAGUGACCAUUCGAAGUUACUACGACACUGGAAGAAAUGAUUUAUGACUAUUGUAUGACUGUUGCGGCCUCCCCGUGGUCACUUGAUCAAAAUUAAGAUGCUUAGCAACUGACUCAUAUUUAUGACCGUUGCUGUG